This 418-nucleotide ribosomal RNA is filed under the name Staphylococcus xylosus. RNAcentral's name for it is "bacterial SSU rRNA". It matches the Rfam family "Bacterial small subunit ribosomal RNA", at positions 93 to 499 of the family's 1533-position model. The record is from RNAcentral. Lineage: Bacteria; Bacillati; Bacillota; Bacilli; Caryophanales; Staphylococcaceae.
UAGCGGCGGACGGGUGAGUACACGUGGGUAACCUACCUAUAAGACUGGGAUAACUUCGGGAAACCGGAGCUAAUACCGGAUAACAUUUAGAACCGCAUGGUUCUAAAGUGAAAGAUGGUUUUGCUAUCACUUAUAGAUGGACCCGCGCCGUAUUAGCUAGUUGGUAAGGUAACGGCUUACCAAGGCGACGAUACGUAGCCGACCUGAGAGGGUGAUCGGCCACACUGGAACUGAGACACGGUCCAGACUCCUACGGGAGGCAGCAGUAGGGAAUCUUCCGCAAUGGGCGAAAGCCUGACGGAGCAACGCCGCGUGAGUGAUGAAGGGUUUCGGCUCGUAAAACUCUGUUAUUAGGGAAGAACAAAUGUGUAAGUAACUGUGCACAUCUUGACGGUACCUAAUCAGAAAGCCACGGCUA